Molecule: long non-coding RNA, 726 nt
Organism: Harmonia axyridis
Lineage: Eukaryota; Metazoa; Arthropoda; Insecta; Coleoptera; Coccinellidae
Exons: 3
Source: RefSeq, a predicted model, not a curated record
GCAAGCCAGAAAUUUCAGUGUGUACUCUGUCUUCCUAACAAUAAGGGGUAUAAUUUUAAGAGCUAUGUGACAGCACAUCUUCAGUCCUAGGAAAAAAAUUUAGAAUAAGUAUUUCAAUUUAAUGCCAAUCGCAAUAUAUAUAUUUCAAUAUAUAAAUCAUGGCGCUAACCACACUGAAUGCUGUCACCUGCAGUGUCGUAAGUUAUAGACUAAAACCAAGUAGACAUCACAAAAUUUUGGUAGAUCAAAAACCUCAAGAAUUUUUUCCCCCAAAAAAGAUGGAAGCUGGACAAAAUAUCAACAAUGAAAAUAUUCAAAUGCCAGUACCAAUAAAUAUUGAUAUUACCGAUAAUUGUGAAUCAAGAAAUGAACCUGAUGGAAAAUAUACAGAAAAAAUAAAGAAAAACUUUUUUCGAAGAUUAUUAAUUGCACUGAUACCUUGUUAUAAAUGAGAAACAAAAAUACAAUUCUUUAUAGGUUUAACAAACUCGAAAAACAUUCGAGUAUUCUAACAUUCUUAAUUUCAUGACAUCUCAUUUUAGUAUCCUAAAAUUUAUUCAAUUUGAUGAGGAAUUUUUAUUCUGCUUAAAUGAUAACCAAUUCUUUUGUUGUAUUUUCAUUGUGAUGAAUUCAUUUGAUCUCAUUAAUGAAAUUUUAUAUGAAAAUAUUCAACAUAUUGAUGGAAAUCUGGAAUGACAAUAUAAUGAAUUAAAAGAUUCAAAUAAC